UAGGGAAUCUUCGGCAAUGGGGGGAACCCUGACCGAGCAACGCCGCGGGAGUGAAGAAGGUUUUCGGAUCGUAAAGCUCUGUUGUUAAGGAAGAACGAGUGUGAGAAUGGAAAGUUCAUGCUGUGACGGUACUUAACCAGAAAGGGACGGCUAACUACGUGCCAGCAGCCGCGGUAAUACGUAGGUCCCGAGCGUUGUCCGGAUUUAUUGGGCGUAAAGCGAGCGCAGGCGGUUAGAAAAGUCUGAAGUGAAAGGCAGUGGCUCAACCAUUGUAGGCUUUGGAAACUGUUUAACUUGAGUGCAGAAGGGGAGAGUGGAAUUCCAUGUGUAGCGGUGAAAUGCGUAGAUAUAUGGAGGAACACCGGUGGCGAAAGCGGCUCUCUGGUCUGUAACUGACGCUGAGGCUCGAAAGCGUGGGGAGCGAACAGG
This 429-nucleotide ribosomal RNA is filed under the name Bacteroidota bacterium. Its description in RNAcentral is "Bacteroidetes bacterium partial 16S ribosomal RNA". It matches the Rfam family "Bacterial small subunit ribosomal RNA", at positions 355 to 776 of the family's 1533-position model. The record is from RNAcentral. RNAcentral also lists the same sequence under 1 other name. Lineage: Bacteria; Pseudomonadati; Bacteroidota.